This is a non-coding RNA of Maylandia zebra (zebra mbuna), 243 nucleotides long. The record is from RefSeq and is a predicted model, not a curated record. Lineage: Eukaryota; Metazoa; Chordata; Actinopteri; Cichliformes; Cichlidae.
AAAAAGUCACGUUUGUAGAAGGGACAGCCGCCAACCAACAGCUGGACGCGUCGAGCUCAGCCCGGGAGGCGGAGACUCUACCUGCAGCACCUGUACAGGUUUUGUCCAAAGGUGCCGGAGAGGAAGAGGACGAUGAAAGAGAGUCUGACGUCUCUGAAGGACAGCUGGUCACAGGGAGCGCUGCGUCGUACUCUGAUGACUCUGAAAUCUCUGAGGAAAUCAUCGAAGAUGUGGAGGACGUCC